Molecule: ribosomal RNA, 492 nt
Filed under: uncultured bacterium
Lineage: Bacteria
Description: partial 16S ribosomal RNA
Rfam family: Bacterial small subunit ribosomal RNA
Source: RNAcentral
AGUGAACGCUGGCGGUAGGCCUAACACAUGCAAGUCGAACGGCAGCACAGUAAUAGCUUGCUCUUACGGGUGGCGAGUGGCGGACGGGUGAUGAAUACAUCGGAAUCUACUUUUUCGUGGGGGAUAACGUAGGGAAACUUACGCUAAUACCGCAUACGACCUACGGGUGAAAGCAGGGGAUCUUCGGACCUUGCGCGAUUGAAUGAGCCGAUGUCGGAUUAGCUAGUUGGCGGGGUAAAGGCCCACCAAGGCGACGAUCCGUAGCUGGUCUGAGAGGAUGAUCAGCCACACUGGAACUGAGACACGGUCCAGACUCCUACGGGAGGCAGCAGUGGGGAAUAUUGGACAAUGGGCGCAAGCCUGAUCCAGCCAUACCGCGUGGGUGAAGAAGGCCUUCGGGUUGUAAAGCCCUUUUGUUGGGAAAGAAAAGCAGCAGGUUAAUACCCCGCUGUUCUGACGGUACCCAAAGAAUAAGCACCGGCUAACUUCGUG